RNAcentral lists this ribosomal RNA (322 nucleotides) under uncultured Sandonidae. RNAcentral's name for it is "SSU rRNA". The stretch from base 62 to 322 matches the Rfam family "Eukaryotic small subunit ribosomal RNA", at positions 694 to 955 of the family's 1831-position model. The record is from RNAcentral. Lineage: Eukaryota; Cercozoa; Glissomonadida; Viridiraptoridae.
GAUUUCUGGCUUGAAACAUUUUGCCGGCCACGGUUUCGUGUGUUAGUGCUUGAUGUUCUGGCCAUCCUUCCAAUUGCUAUUCAUCUUUCUUCAUUGAUGGGUGGAUGGUGUUGGAUCUUUUACUUUGAAAAAAUUAGAGUGUUUCAAGCAGGCUUAAUGCUAUGAAUACAUUAGCAUGGAAUAAUAAUUUAGGACUUCGGUUCUAUUUUGUUGGUUUCGAGAGCUGAAGUAAUGAUUGAUAGGGAUAGUUGGGGGUGCUAGUAUUCAGAGGCCAGAGGUGAAAUUCUUGGAUUCUCUGAAGACUAACUUAUGCGAAAGCAUU